Molecule: long non-coding RNA, 239 nt
Filed under: Elaeis guineensis (African oil palm)
Lineage: Eukaryota; Viridiplantae; Streptophyta; Magnoliopsida; Arecales; Arecaceae
Description: long non-coding RNA (EGUI_LNC029734)
Source: RNAcentral
AAAUUCAAUGUUUUAUUCUGAGCACUGUACAUAUGAACAACUUUAUUGAUAAUACAUCUUUAAAUUGUCAGCAUUCUACAUUCGAAGAAUAGCUGUUUCUUUAAGAGUCUCCAGUCGAUAUGCACCCGAUCUAAGUGUCUCAAUUAUUCUGUAGAGUCCUUCCCAAUUUGGAGAUAAUUUUUUCUAGUCCAAAGGCUUUGAGAUUUCUGCCUUUCUUAAAAUCAGAUCUCCUGGACGGA